This 476-nucleotide ribosomal RNA is filed under the name uncultured Bacteroidota bacterium. Its description in RNAcentral is "bacterial SSU rRNA". It matches the Rfam family "Bacterial small subunit ribosomal RNA", at positions 355 to 829 of the family's 1533-position model. Lineage: Bacteria; Pseudomonadati; Bacteroidota. The record is from RNAcentral.
UAGGGAAUAUUGGGCAAUGGACGCAAGUCUGACCCAGCCAUGCCGCGUGCAGGAUGAAGGCCUUCUGGGUUGUAAACUGCUUUUAUCUAGGAAGAAAACGCCCAUGCGUGGGAAACUGACGGUACUAGAUGAAUAAGCACCGGCUAACUCCGUGCCAGCAGCCGCGGUAAUACGGAGGGUGCAAGCGUUGUCCGGAUUUAUUGGGUUUAAAGGGUGCGUAGGCGGCCCGGUAAGUCAGUGGUGAAAGCCUCCAGCUCAACUGGAGAACUGCCAUUGAUACUGCCGGGCUUGAGUACAGACGAGGUUGGCGGAAUUGAUUGUGUAGCGGUGAAAUGCAUAGAUACAAUCAAGAACUCCGAUUGCGUAGGCAGCUAACUAGGCUGUAACUGACGCUGAGGCACGAAAGCGUGGGGAGCGAACAGGAUUAGAUACCCUGGUAGUCCACGCUGUAAACGAUGAUUACUCGAUGUUGGCGA